GUGAGGAAUUUUCCGCAAUGGGCGAAAGCCUGACGGAGCAAUGCCGCGUGAAGGAUGAAGGCCUAUGGGUUGUAAACUUCUUUUUUCAGAAAAGAAUUAUGACGGUAUCUGAGGAAUAAGCAUCGGCUAACUCUGUGCCAGCAGCCGCGGUAAGACAGAGGAUGCAAGCGUUAUCCGGAAUGAUUGGGCGUAAAGCGUCUGUAGGUUGUUUAAAAAGUAUUCUGUCAAAGAUUAGGGCUUAACCCUAGAUAGGCAGAAUAAACUUUUAAGCUAGAGUUUGGUAGAGGCAGAGGGAAUUCCCGGUGGAGCGGUGAAAUGCGUAGAUAUCGGGAGGAACACCAAAGGCGAAGGCACUCUGCUGGGCCAAUACUAACACUGAGAGACGAAAGCGAGGGGAGCAAAUGGGAUUAGAUACCCCGGUAGUCC
This 426-nucleotide ribosomal RNA is filed under the name uncultured bacterium. RNAcentral's name for it is "bacterial SSU rRNA". It matches the Rfam family "Bacterial small subunit ribosomal RNA", at positions 354 to 796 of the family's 1533-position model. The record is from RNAcentral.